UACGAAGGGUGCAAACGUUGCUCGGAAUUAUUGGGCGUAAAGCGCACGUAGGCGGCUUUGCAAGUCCCAUGUGAAAUCCCACGGCUCAACCGUGGAAGUGCAUGGGAAACUGCAGAGCUUGAGUACUUAAGAGGAUCGCGGAAUUCCCGGUGUAGAGGUGAAAUUCGUAGAUAUCGGGAGGAACACCAGUGGCGAAGGCGGCGAUCUGGGAAGAUACUGACGCUGAGGUGCGAAAGCGUGGGAGCAAACAGG
Molecule: ribosomal RNA, 252 nt
Filed under: uncultured bacterium
Lineage: Bacteria
Description: partial 16S ribosomal RNA
Rfam family: Bacterial small subunit ribosomal RNA
Source: RNAcentral